This 1500-nucleotide ribosomal RNA is filed under the name metagenome. RNAcentral's name for it is "bacterial SSU rRNA". It matches the Rfam family "Bacterial small subunit ribosomal RNA". The record is from RNAcentral.
AUAGUUUGAUCCUGGCUCAGAGCGAACGUUAGCGGCGGGCCUAACACAUGCAAGUCGAACGGGCAGUAGCAAUACUGUCAGUGGCGCACGGGUGAGUAACGCGUAGGUAAUCUACCCUUUGGCGGGGGAUAACGUUCCGAAAGGGACGCUAAUACCGCAUAAGACCACGGCCUUUUCGGAGGUUGGGGGAAAAGGUGGCCUCUUCUUGAAAGCCAUCACCGGAGGAUGAGCCUGCGUCCCAUCAGCUAGUUGGUAGGGUAAUGGCCUACCAAGGCGAAGACGGGUAGCUGGUCUGAGAGGAUGAUCAGCCACACUGGCACUGGAACACGGGCCAGACUCCUACGGGAGGCAGCAGUGGGGAAUAUUGGGCAAUGGGCGCAAGCCUGACCCAGCCACGCCGCGUGAGCGAUGAAGGCCUUCGGGUUGUAAAGCUCUGUGGGGAGGGGCGAAAGGCAGAAGUGCUAAUAGUACUCUGUUUGACGGUACCUCCUUAGCAAGCACCGGCUAACUCUGUGCCAGCAGCCGCGGUAAUACAGAGGUCUCAAGCGUUGUUCGGAAUUACUGGGCGUAAAGGGUGCGCAGGCCGCGCGGGCAGUCAAAUGUGUAAUCCAGGGGCUCAACCCCUGAACUGCGCUUGAUACUUCCGCGCUCGAGCUUUGGAGAGGAGUCUGGAAUUCUCGGUGUAGCAGUGAAAUGCGUGGAUAUCGAGAAGAACACUUAGGGCGUAGGCAAGACUCUGGACAAAUGCUGACGCUCAUGCACGAAGGCUAGGGUAGCGAACGGGAUUAGAUACCCCGGUAGUCCUAGCUGUAAACGGUGCACGUUUGGUGUGGGAGGCAACCCCUUCCGUGCCGAAGCUAACGCGAUAAACGUGCCGCCUGGGUAGUACGGUCGCAAGACUAAAACUCAAAGAAAUUGACGGGGACCCGCACAAGCGGUGGAGUAUGUGGCUUAAUUCGAUGCAACGCGAAGAACCUUACCAGGGCUUGACAUGUAUUGUAACCCCGGUGAAAGCCGGGCAGCGUAGAAAUACGCGCUUUACACAGGUGCUGCAUGGCUGUCGUCAGCUCGUGUCGUGAGAUGUUGGGUUAAGUCCCGCAACGAGCGCAACCCUUAUGAUUUGUUGCCACCGGUUCAUUCCGAGCACUCAAAUCAGACUGCCCAGAUUAACUGGGAGGAAGGUGGGGAUGACGUCAAGUCCGUAUGGCCCUUACGUCCUGGGCUGCACACGUACUACAAUGUCCAGUACAAAUUGAACCGAGACCGCAAGGUGGAGGAAAUCAAUAAAACUGGGCUCAGUUCAGAUUGCAGGCUGCAACUCGCCUGCAUGAAGUCGGAAUCGCUAGUAAUGGUACAUCAGCAACGGUACCGUGAAUACGUUCCCGGGUCUUGUACACACCGCCCGUCACAUCAUGGAAGCUGGCGUUGCCCAAAGUACGUUGACCUCACGGUCGCGUCCUAAGGCAAUGGUGGUAACUGGGAUGAAGUCGUAACAAGGUA